AGUCGAUGGACAACGGGUUGAUAUUCCCGUACCGGCGAAGAACCGCCCAUACUGAACUGGGGAUACUAACCACCGGUUCCACCCGUUUCUCAUGCGCCACUUUGUGGUGUGUGGUUGUGGUGGGAUGCGUGGGACCUGAUCCAGGGAGGUAAGCGUGUUAACAGGUGUGACGCAGGAAGGUAGCUGAGCCAGGCGAUGGUAUCCGUGAGGUGAACCUGGUGUAAGGAUGUAGGGCUGACGAUAGGCAAAUCCGUCGUCUGUGUGCCUGAGAUCCGACGCGUACCCGUGAGGGGAAAUCAGUGAUCCUAUGCUGCCGAGAAAA
Molecule: ribosomal RNA, 322 nt
Filed under: Pavlova sp. CCMP459
Lineage: Eukaryota; Haptophyta; Pavlovophyceae; Pavlovales; Pavlovaceae
Description: partial Bacterial large subunit ribosomal RNA
Rfam family: Bacterial large subunit ribosomal RNA (bases 164-322)
Source: RNAcentral